ACGGGUGCGUAACGCGUGGGAAUCUGCCCUUGGGUUCGGAAUAACAGUGAGAAAUUACUGCUAAUACCGAAUGAUGACCUACGUCCAAAGAUUUAUCGCCCAGGGAUGAGCCCGCGUAGGAUUAGCUAGUUGGUGAGGUAAAAGCUCACCAAGGCGACGAUCCUUAGCUGGUCUGAGAGGAUGAUCAGCCACACUGGGACUGAGACACGGCCCAGACUCCUACGGGAGGCAGCAGUGGGGAAUAUUGGACAAUGGGCGAAAGCCUGAUCCAGCAAUGCCGCGUGAGUGAUGAAGGCCUUAGGGUUGUAAAGCUCUUUUACCCGGGAUGAUAAUGACAGUACCGGGAGAAUAAGCUCCGGCUAACUCCGUGCCAGCAGCCGCGGUAAUACGGAGGGAGCUAGCGUUAUUCGGAAUUACUGGGCGUAAAGCGCACGUAGGCGGCUUUGUAAGUUAGAGGUGAAAGCCUGGAGCUCAACUCCAGAACUGCCUUUAAGACUGCAUCGCUUGAAUCCGGGAGAGGUGAGUGGAAUUCCGAGUGUAGAGGUGAAAUUCGUAGA
This 557-nucleotide ribosomal RNA is filed under the name Sphingomonas sp. HRRP090. RNAcentral describes it as "bacterial SSU rRNA". It matches the Rfam family "Bacterial small subunit ribosomal RNA", at positions 102 to 694 of the family's 1533-position model. The record is from RNAcentral. Lineage: Bacteria; Pseudomonadati; Pseudomonadota; Alphaproteobacteria; Sphingomonadales; Sphingomonadaceae.